UACGUAGGCAGCGAGCGUUGUUCGGAGUUACUGGGCGUAAAGCGUGCGUAGGCGGUGUUCCAAGUCUGUUGUGAAAUCUCCCGGACUUAACUGGGAGGGUGCGGCGGAAACUGGACGCUGGAGUGCGGAGAGGUAAGCGGAAGUUCCUGGUGUAGCGGUGAAAUGCGUAGAGUAUCAGGAGGAACACCAAUGGCGAAGGCAGAUCUCUGGGCCGUAACUGACGCUGAGGAGCGAAAGCAUGGGAGCGAACAGGAUUAGAUACCGUG
Molecule: ribosomal RNA, 266 nt
Filed under: uncultured bacterium
Lineage: Bacteria
Description: partial 16S ribosomal RNA
Rfam family: Bacterial small subunit ribosomal RNA
Source: RNAcentral